RNAcentral lists this ribosomal RNA (131 nucleotides) under Galium baldensiforme. RNAcentral's name for it is "5.8S ribosomal RNA". It matches the Rfam family "5.8S ribosomal RNA", at positions 1 to 127 of the family's 154-position model. From Rfam's summary of the family: 5.8S ribosomal RNA (5.8S rRNA) is a component of the large subunit of the eukaryotic ribosome. It is transcribed by RNA polymerase I as part of the 45S precursor that also contains 18S and 28S rRNA. The record is from RNAcentral. Lineage: Eukaryota; Viridiplantae; Streptophyta; Magnoliopsida; Gentianales; Rubiaceae.
ACCCGACCGUUGACAAAGGAAAUUUAGGCUCUCGCAUCGAUGAAGAACGUAGCAAAAUGCGAUACUUGGUGUGAAUUGCAGAAUCCCGUGAAUCAUCGAGUUUUUGAACGCAAGUUGCGCCCGAAGCCCUU